Molecule: long non-coding RNA, 811 nt
Filed under: Sus scrofa (pig)
Lineage: Eukaryota; Metazoa; Chordata; Mammalia; Artiodactyla; Suidae
Description: lncRNA (ENSSSCG00070004653.1)
Source: RNAcentral
GGUCAAACCAGAGCUGUAGCCACCGGCCUGCGCCAGAGCCACAGCAACGCGGGAUCCGAGCAACGUCUGCAACCUACACCUCAGCUCACGGCAAUGCCGGAUCCUUAACCCACUGAGCAAGGCCAGGGAUCGAACCCGCAACCUCAUGGUUCCUGGUCGGAUUCGUUAACCACUGCGCCACGACGGGAACUCCAAAGAAGCCUGAAUGUUUUUUAAAUGAACGUGGACUUGGGAGGUCUUCCAUGAAAAGCUGGUGCCUUUUCCACAGGUGUCUUUGCUGUCUUCUUUUGGGGAAACGGACUCAACUCUGCCUUCUGUCUGUGUGCCUGCGGUCCGCAACCACAGGAAGACCUGUGGCCACAGUGCAGAGGAUGCUGUGACACUCACAGUGUUUUCUUUUCUCUCAUCACAGGUGGACGGGAUGGACGAUGAAAGCCUAUGUUUCAUGGAGAGUCUGAGUGACAGCAACCAUGAUGAAAGUGAUACAGGUAAGAACAGCUCUCAGGUAGGAGCCAAUGGGAGAGGGAUCCCGGGACACUUGGGUGACGCCUGCUGCUUGGAGUGUGGGGCAGGUGAGUCUGAAACUUAAAAACAGAAAGAAAUUGAUGUAAAGAUGUUCACCGCCUACUUUAAUAAGGAGAGGGAGCAGAUAUGAGAUGCCUGAAUGUUGGCAUCUGUGCUCACCUUGUGUGGAAGGGUCUCAGUCCAUGGAGCAGAGGGAAGGUCUGGGCACCUGGAGGAAAAACCAGGGUGAUGCUCUGUACCCGUAGUCACCUCAGGGAAGCCGGAGAAACGGGAGGGCCACUCUUUC